UGUAAUACAUAUUAGUUGGAAUUAGCCCAAAGUUGGAAAAAUGUUUUGACCAUAUAAUGUUCGGAAGAUUAAAAUCGCCAAACACGCAGAGAUGAUUAUCAUUAACUUUAUUUUGAGCAAGGGAGACAAUUGUUGUCGGAAUUGGAUUUAAAAACGACAAAAAAAUUACUUUGGUGUCAUGAAAUCCAAUGUUAUCGGUUUUAUGUUCGAAUCGGAAUUAGUGUCGAUUUUAGGUGUCACAGAAACCAAUAAUAUCGAUUUUGGUAUCGGAAACAAACCAAGCAGCUAACGGCUGUUGGAUUUCAUUUGUUUAUUAGUUUUCCUUACUUCCAGUUGGAUAUUUUAUAAAAAUAGCCGGGAUAGAGUGCAUCGACGGCUCGAAUUUUUAUGUCACCAUCACACAUCUAAAUAAAAAUGUACAUGCAUAUAUAUAAAUCAAGGCAAUGUACGAGUAAAAUGAAGAUUCAUGAUUACUUACAAUCAGGGCAUUCAUACUGAAUUAUUUUCGAUUAUAAAAUAAAUGUUCGUCAAUACUGGG
Rhagoletis zephyria (snowberry fruit fly) is the source of this 538-nucleotide long non-coding RNA. RefSeq lists it as uncharacterized. The record is from RefSeq and is a predicted model, not a curated record. Lineage: Eukaryota; Metazoa; Arthropoda; Insecta; Diptera; Tephritidae.